GGGCGCAAGCCUGAUGCAGCCAUGCCGCGUGUGUGAAGAAGGCCUUCGGGUUGUAAAGCACUUUCAGCGGGGAGGAAGGCGGUGAGGUUAAUAACCUCACCGAUUGACGUUACCCGCAGAAGAAGCACCGGCUAACUCCGUGCCAGCAGCCGCGGUAAUACGGAGGGUGCAAGCGUUAAUCGGAAUUACUGGGCGUAAAGCGCACGCAGGCGGUCUGUCAAGUCGGAUGUGAAAUCCCCGGGCUCAACCUGGGAACUGCAUUCGAAACUGGCAGGCUAGAGUCUUGUAGAGGGGGGUAGAAUUCCAGGUGUAGCGGUGAAAUGCGUAGAGAUCUGGAGGAAUACC
RNAcentral lists this ribosomal RNA (345 nucleotides) under uncultured bacterium. RNAcentral's name for it is "bacterial SSU rRNA". It matches the Rfam family "Bacterial small subunit ribosomal RNA", at positions 373 to 710 of the family's 1533-position model. The record is from RNAcentral.